Molecule: ribosomal RNA, 206 nt
Filed under: uncultured Spirochaetaceae bacterium
Lineage: Bacteria; Pseudomonadati; Spirochaetota; Spirochaetia; Spirochaetales; Spirochaetaceae
Description: partial 16S ribosomal RNA
Rfam family: Bacterial small subunit ribosomal RNA
Source: RNAcentral
AUGACGUCAAGUCAUCAUGGCCCCUAUGUCCAGGGCUACACACGUGCUACAAUGGGCGAUACAGAGUGACGCGAAGCCGCGAGGUGGAGCAAAUCGACAGAAAAUCGCUCUCAGUUCGGAUUGGAGUCUGAAACCCGACUCCAUGAAGGUGGAAUCGCUAGUAAUCGCGCAUCAGCAUGGCGCGGUCGAAUACGUUCCCGGGCCUU